GACAACACCCGAGGUAAGUUCUUGAGUAAGAGAGCUUAAAUUUCGAUGUGAUUAAAUCAUGCUCUAUGUGUGGCUAUUAAGCCGAAUGUGCAAGGACAAUAUGUGCCUUAUGUUUGAGUUUCGUAAACGAAAAUGAAAUAUGAAUGUACCAUGAAUUAUUGUUAGAUGUGCAUGAUUAAUUGAAUGCUGUCCGGGCUAAGUCCCGAAGGCUUUGUGCUAAGCGAAUAUAUCCGGACUAAGAUCCGAAGGCCUUUGUGCGAGAUACUAAAUCCGGGUUAAGUCCCGAGGGCAUUCGUGCGAGUUAUUAAAGCCGGGUUAAGUCCCGAAGGCAUUCGUGCGAGUUGUUAAAUCCGGGUUACAUCCCGAAGGCAUGGUGUGAGUUACUAAAACCGGGCUAUGUCCCGAAGGCAUUUGAACGAGGAGCUAUAUCCGGUUAAAUCCCGAAGGUACGUGAUUUGGUAAUGAAUGAGCUUGCUGUAAAAUUCCAGCGAAUACUCGAAAAACAUCCCAAUAUGGGGAUAUGUUACGUAUGUGUUGAAUUAAAUCGAGCCCUUACAAAUAAAUGUUCGCUCAGUUGAUAAACGAGCUAUCGGCCUUCGGCUAAGUUAGUCUAUUGUGUAUGUGCAUAAGGGUUGUUAAUGUUGUGAAGCAAGUUUAAUAUCGAUAAAUUGCGUAUUAUGAAAUAUUCCGUUUAGCUAAAUGUGUGAUAUUCUUUGUUUAUGCUGGAAUUCCUUGCUCAAACUUACUAAGCAUAAAUUGCUUACUCGUUACAUUGCUCCUCUGUUUUAUAGAUUUUUGGUUCUCCAGCUAUCGGACUCGGGAUCUUGAAGUCGAAGUCGCCCACACUAUCAAAGGCUCUUUUGGGUACUAUUUUGGUUGAAUUUUGUUAUGGCAUGUAUAGGACUACCCAUUGUUGUCUUUCGAGUACUUUAUGAAAUGUAUAAGUGUACAGCCAUGCGAAAAUGGCUUGUAGAAGUGGAGUAUGGCAUUAGACCAUUCGUAUUUAUGAAUGUAUAGAUGGUUUCAUGAUGUAACUAUGUUGGAAUGGAAGUGUUGAGCAAAUGAUCAGCCACUAGAAUGGCUAAGUAUGAUCAUAUGUGGGCUUAUGUAUGACAAGGCCCUAGUUGGUCCAUGAAACCCCAAAUUAGG
This 1149-nucleotide long non-coding RNA is filed under the name Gossypium barbadense (sea-island cotton). RNAcentral's name for it is "long non-coding RNA (GBAR_LNC000531)". The record is from RNAcentral. Lineage: Eukaryota; Viridiplantae; Streptophyta; Magnoliopsida; Malvales; Malvaceae.